This 460-nucleotide ribosomal RNA is filed under the name uncultured bacterium. RNAcentral's name for it is "partial 16S ribosomal RNA". It matches the Rfam family "Bacterial small subunit ribosomal RNA", at positions 338 to 795 of the family's 1533-position model. The record is from RNAcentral.
CCUACGGGAGGCAGCAGUGAGGAAUAUUGGUCAAUGGACGAGAGUCUGAACCAGCCAAGUAGCGUGAAGGAUGACUGCCCUAUGGGUUGUAAACUUCUUUUAUAUGGGAAUAAAACGUUCCACGUGUGGGAUUUUGUAUGUACCAUAUGAAUAAGGAUCGGCUAACUCCGUGCCAGCAGCCGCGGUAAUACGGAGGAUCCGAGCGUUAUCCGGAUUUAUUGGGUUUAAAGGUAGCGUAGGUGGAUUGUUAAGUCAGUUGUGAAAGUUUGCGGCUCAACCGUAAAAUUGCAGUUGAAACUGGCAGUCUUGAGUACAGUAGAGGUGGGCGGAAUUCGUGGUGUAGCGGUGAAAUGCUUAGAUAUCACGAAGAACUCCGAUUGCGAAGGCAGUUCACUGGACUGCAACUGACACUGAGGCUCGAAAGUGUGGGUAUCAAACAGGAUUAGAUACCCCAGUAGUC